UGCAAAAAGUGCUAGAAUAAUGAACAAUUUGCAGUGCCAUUGGGCAUUGGUUGAUUGUUUUGUUAGUGGUCUCUGAAGAUUAGUUAUCGUCGGGACUAUUUUUAAGCUGAAAAGGAGGCAGCAGCGCUAGGAUGGCAGUCCUAGUGUCACUUUAAGUACCUUGAUAGUUUGUGAAAGUAGAUAGCCUGCUAGUGAUCGUCGGGAUGAUCAUACUUUGAAUCUUUGUUGGUGCUUUUUUUUCCGUCAGAACAAACAGAACAAGAUCUCUUUUGUGUACACAAUAUUUUGGAGCCCAUCGAGAUCAGCCUGCAACCUGCAUACAUAUAGAUGAAUGUAGCAUCAUUUUGUAGCUAGUGAUGACUAGUGUACAUGUAGCUUCAUAUGCUGUACCAUGCUAUUUUGAGUUGUCUUUAGCGGGAACAUACAACAAUAUCUUAGUGCCCUAAUACUUUGUGAAAGUUGAUUGGUGAUAUCGCCAAAGAUUGUGGGGUACAUAUGUAUAAACAUGAUACUGUCGCCACUUACCAUAUCAGGAUCUCCAGCUUCAGAUACCAUCCAGUUAGGCAGUUAGCUUGAGUUGGAUCAACAAUACAGAUAUAUAUAUAUAUACAUAGGUUGCAUGUACAUUUUCAGGAUAACUUGCAUCAUGCGGUUCAAGCCUCGCUAGAUCACUCAGCUUGUUAGACGCGGUUUGGGCUGUCGAGCUGUUCUUAAUGGAGCACCGGAGCUCAGCUCCAGACGCUUCGUUCAGAAAUGAAGCAACUGCCUACCACAGCAGACUGAAUUCAAUUAGGCAACUGUUUAACUGGAAAAGGCAUGCAUGCAUCUGAAGCUAGAAAUUCCAAUAACCUUAGUGGUUCUCUAUGCUUGACCAUUGGAAUCAUCUGUUCUGGUGGUGACAAAAGCUAGAUAGAACAGAAAAAUAUUCAUAAUUAGAAACAUGUGUGAAUAUAAUAAUAAGAAAAAAAAACAAAGAAAUAAAAGAAACGUCAGCGAACCAUUACAUGGGCUCAAUGGAAAGUCAUCAGAAGGGCUUGUUCAUAAUCCCCAAAUCCAGGGGAUUGGACAAGGCCUUAAAGAAGCAUGUUAAUAUGAUAUGGCACUUGGCUGGAGGAAGAGAGGGGAGCCGGUGCUGGCUCACACUAAAACAGAUCGGAUAUAGACGGAUAUCACCGAUAUCAUAUUUGUUUUCAUAUUUUUUUGUCAGAUUCGGAUUUGAAUACGGAUAAUGUCAACCUCAACGGAUAAGAUACGAUUGGAUAUCGACAUUAUAAAUAUAUGAUUUAAGUAUUCAGAUACGAAUAUGGUAUCGAAUGUUGAAUACUCGAACUCAGAUACAGACAGAUCUGAACUCCUCUAAACAAAUUCGAUCUUGAAUACGGUUGGAAAAUAUCUAUACUAUUUUCACCCUGGCUCACAGGCAGACGCAGGUUGGUGCUGCUGUGCCGCUGAUAUGCGGGGUCGUGUGUCACGCAUGGUUGGGUUAAUUAGGGG
Molecule: long non-coding RNA, 1494 nt
Filed under: Sorghum bicolor (sorghum)
Lineage: Eukaryota; Viridiplantae; Streptophyta; Magnoliopsida; Poales; Poaceae
Description: long non-coding RNA (SBIC_LNC011294)
Source: RNAcentral